RNAcentral lists this long non-coding RNA (480 nucleotides) under Rattus norvegicus (Norway rat). RNAcentral's name for it is "long non-coding RNA NONRATT026371". The record is from RNAcentral. Lineage: Eukaryota; Metazoa; Chordata; Mammalia; Rodentia; Muridae.
GGUGCUGUGCUUUCUGUCCUGCCGCUGGAUGCUAUGAAGUGCGCUCAGGCAAGCUCCGAAGUUGCGACAUGGAUUGUCCAGAAAUAGGGUUCCAACCCAUAACAAAGGAAACAACCCUGAUUUACAACCAGCCACCAGGCCCAUCCCCAUGUCAAAGAGCAGGCCUCUAACAAAGUGCUCAAUGGGGCAUUGCAGGAUCACAAUCAACAGUAAGGCCUGGUGUGCCAUAAAGGUUCCGUUUUCUUCUUGUGAAAAGCAUAGUUCUGCCACAUGGGCAAGAUGACACCUGGUGACAACCAUUUGAAAAGGAUGCGGUGACUUAUGAUGAUGUGAAUGUGAACUUCACUCAAGAAGAGUGGGCUAUGCUGGAUCCUUUACAGAAGAGUCUCUACAAAGAUGUGAUGCUGGAGACCUAUAAGAACCUCACUGCUAUAGCUGCAACUGGAAAGACCAUAAUAUUGAAGAACAUUUUCAAAGUUU